GAUGAACGCUGGCGGCAGGCUUAACACAUGCAAGUCGAACGAGAUCUUCGGAUCUAGUGGCAGACGGGUGAGGAACACGUGGGAACAUCCCUUUCAGUUCGGAAUAACGUUGGGAAACUAACGCUAAUACCGGAUACGUCCUUCGGGAGAAAGAUUUAUCGCUGAAAGAUUGGCCCGCGUCUGAUUAGUUAGUUGGUGAGGUAAUGGCUCACCAAGGCUACGAUCAGUAGCUGAUCUGAGAGGAUGAUCAGCCACAUUGGGACUGAGACACGGCCCAAACUCCUACGGGAGGCAGCAGUGGGGAAUAUUGGACAAUGGGCGCAAGCCUGAUCCAGCCAUGCCGCGUGAGUGAUGACGGCCUUCGGGUUGUAAAGCUCUUUUGUCCGGGAAGAUAAUGACUGUACCGGAAGAAUAAGCCCCGGCAAACUUCGUGCCAGCCGCCGCAGUAA
This 449-nucleotide ribosomal RNA is filed under the name uncultured bacterium. RNAcentral describes it as "partial 16S ribosomal RNA". It matches the Rfam family "Bacterial small subunit ribosomal RNA", at positions 28 to 523 of the family's 1533-position model. The record is from RNAcentral.